Molecule: ribosomal RNA, 498 nt
Filed under: uncultured soil bacterium
Lineage: Bacteria
Description: bacterial SSU rRNA
Rfam family: Bacterial small subunit ribosomal RNA
Source: RNAcentral
AGAGUUUGAUCCUGGCUCAGAACGAACGCUGGCGGCGUGCUUAACACAUGCAAGUCGAGUGCGCGGUUGUAGCAAUACAACUGGCGCACGGCGCACGGGUGCGUAACACGUGGGUAACCUGCCCUUUGGUGGGGAAUAACUCCGCGAAAGCGGAGCUAAUUCCGCAUAAGAUCCGCAAGGAUGAAAGCCGUAAGGCGCCGAAGGAGGGGCCCGCGCCCGAUUAGCUAGUUGGUGAGGUAAUGGCUCACCAAGGCUUUGAUCGGUAGCUGGUCUGAGAGGAUGAUCAGCCACACUGGAACUGAGACACGGUCCAGACUCCUACGGGAGGCAGCAGUGGGGAAUCUUGCACAAUGGGCGAAAGCCUGAUGCAGCGACGCCGCGUGGGGGAUGAAGCAUUUCGGUGUGUAAACCCCUUUCGAUCCGGACGAAACCCCGCAAGGGAUUGACGGUACGGAUAUAAGAAGCCCCGGCUAACUACGUGCCAGCAGCCGCGGUAAU